This is a long non-coding RNA of Chinchilla lanigera (long-tailed chinchilla), 217 nucleotides long. RefSeq lists it as uncharacterized. The record is from RefSeq and is a predicted model, not a curated record. The transcript has 3 exons. NCBI's taxonomy places the organism in Eukaryota, Metazoa, Chordata, Mammalia, Rodentia, Chinchillidae.
GAGAGGAGAGAAAGAUCUGUGAGUUGGAAAGCUCGUCCUCCGCAGUCCUACAGAGAUACAGCAAGGAUGUACCCACCUGGCCAAGUGUGCUGAAAAUUGAAUCCAGGGUGUUGUACAUGGUAGGGAAGAACUCCAGCACUGAGCUUGCCUCCACCCCAGUGGAAUUAGUGCUGAAAUCUCAUAUAGGAGUCUUUUCUUUGAAUUACCUAAUUUCUCC